RNAcentral lists this transfer RNA (89 nucleotides) under Clostridiales bacterium. RNAcentral describes it as "tRNA-Ser". It matches the Rfam family "tRNA". Rfam says of the family: Transfer RNA (tRNA) molecules are approximately 80 nucleotides in length. RNAcentral also lists the same sequence under 1 other name. Lineage: Bacteria; Bacillati; Bacillota; Clostridia; Eubacteriales. The record is from RNAcentral.
GGAAGCGUAUCGAAGUGGUCAUAACGAGGUGGUCUUGAAAACCAUUUGGGUGCAAGCCCACGGGGGUUCGAAUCCCUCCGCUUCCGCCA